CCGAGUUGUCUGCACCCGAAGUCGCUGGCCCAACCCGUAAGGGAGGGAGGCGCCGAAGGUGUGGAGAGUAAGGGGGGUGAAGUCGUAACAAGGUAGCCGUACCGGAAGGUGCGGCUGGAUCACCUCCUUU
RNAcentral lists this ribosomal RNA (130 nucleotides) under Caldisericota bacterium. RNAcentral describes it as "partial 16S ribosomal RNA". It matches the Rfam family "Bacterial small subunit ribosomal RNA", at positions 1406 to 1533 of the family's 1533-position model. Lineage: Bacteria; Pseudomonadati; Caldisericota. The record is from RNAcentral.